RNAcentral lists this non-coding RNA (21 nucleotides) under Rattus norvegicus (Norway rat). Lineage: Eukaryota; Metazoa; Chordata; Mammalia; Rodentia; Muridae. The record is from RNAcentral.
AUAUUUGUGCCCUUUGUUCUC